AGAGAGAAUGUUCAUCUCUAUGAUCCCUUUGGCGCCCUCGGAGGACAUUUCGCUUCCUUUCAAAUUGAAGAGGAAACAAUUCCCUGGAUGGAUCCUGGAAAGCCUCUUCCGGAACCAAGUCCCCUCCCCACUCGGAGUCCUCCGCCGCUGACGCAUGGGUAAGCGCAAGAGCUGUAGCCCGUCCACACGGUUCAGCGAGCUGCCGCCGUCGUAGAUAACCAAGACAUACACGGAAAUAAGCAAGAUUCAGUGCGCCGCCCUGCCCCCGCGCGUUCUGAGGGUGCGACGUCCUCGACGUGUCCAAGACAGGGUCCAGGAAGACCCUCUCCUUCGUGAUCCCGAUAGGCCCAAUCUUCCUCGACGAGGGGUUGUGAUGGCGGGCACAGCGUUGCUGGAUGACGCUGAGAGUAUAGUGGGUGGGUUCAAGUACAUCCCUCUGUGCCAGCAUGCAGCGGGUCUGCGGACAGGGAGAGCCAGGAAGAGAAUGUAGUCCUCGGCAGCCGAGCGGGAAGGGGGGCAGCUUGCCGUGAUUGAAGAACAUGACGACCAUGCUGAUACAAGGUCAGUGAUGUAGACAGGGAAGAUGGACCCUCAUGCCCCUGGGUGGACGAAGAGGAUUGGAGUAGGGAGCCAUCCACCGGAAAGGACCCCGUGUUCGGAGAAGGUUUGCGCACUUGAAAAGACGAUUAGUAUGUGAAGAAGUGCACCUUCACAGAUCUGAAUAUUGAUACCCUUCCUAAUCCUUAGUUUUGGGCCUUGUUCAACAUAUACAGAUAUACUACCAUCUUAGAGAAAUAUGUUGUUUAAAGAUAAAGAGGUGGAUAAGUUUCUGGCUUUAGUUACUGAAUAUCCAGAUCCGGUUUGCUUCUCAGCCAUGGCCUACAUUUAGAGAAGACAUGUUCAUAUGUAAGAGAUUUAAGGU
This is a long non-coding RNA of Triticum dicoccoides, 922 nucleotides long. RefSeq lists it as uncharacterized. The transcript is spliced from 3 exons. The record is from RefSeq and is a predicted model, not a curated record. NCBI's taxonomy places the organism in Eukaryota, Viridiplantae, Streptophyta, Magnoliopsida, Poales, Poaceae.